This is a non-coding RNA of Phlebotomus papatasi, 193 nucleotides long. The record is from Rfam. Lineage: Eukaryota; Metazoa; Arthropoda; Insecta; Diptera; Psychodidae.
AUCGCUUCUCGGCCUAACGGCUAAGAUCAAAGUGUAGUAUCUGUUCUUAUUAGUUUAACACCUAAUAGUUCCCUCAUAGAGGGACAAUGUUGUUAAAUUGAUUUUUGGAAAUUGGCGAAGUGCUAGGGGCUUGCUCCACCUUUGCCGCGGGUUGGCCUGGUAUUGCAGUACCGCCAGGAUCGGCCCAUCUUAA